CCCGCCGGACCUGACUGCUAUCGGAUUGAUACUAAGCCAUGCGAGUCAUUGUAGUAAUACAAGGCAUACGGCUCAGUAACGCGUAGUCAACCUAACCUAUGGACGGGAAUAACCUCGGGAAACUGAGUAUAACGCCCGGUAGAAUAUUAUGCCUGGAAUGGUUUAUGUUCCAAAUGAUUUAUCGCCGUAGGAUGGGACUGCGGCCUAUCAGUUUGUUGGUGAGGUAAUGGCCCACCAAGACUAUUACAGGUACGGGCUCUGAGAGGAGUAGCCCGGAGAUGGGUACUGAGACACGGACCCAGGCCCUAUGGGGCGCAGCAGGCGAGAAAACUUUGCAAUGUGCGAAAGCACGACAAGGUUAAUCCGAGUGGUUUCUGCUAAAGGAACCUUUUGUUAGUCCUAGAAACACUAACGAAUAAGGGGUGGGCAAGUUCUGGUGUCAGCCGCCGCGGUAAAACCAGCACCUCAAGUGGUCAGGAUGAUUAUUGGGCCUAAAGCAUCCGUAGCCGGCUCUGUAAGUUUUCGGUUAAAUCUGUACGCUCAACGUACAGGCUGCCGGGAAUACUGCAGAGCUAGGGAGUGGGAGAGGUAGACGGUACUCGGGAGGAAGGGGUAAAAUCCUUUGAUCUCUCGAUGACCACCUGUGGCGAAGGCGGUCUACCAGAACACGUCCGACGGUGAGGGAUGAAAGCUGGGGGAGCAAACCGGAUUAGAUACCCGGGUAGUCCCAGCUGUAAACUAUGCAAACUCAGUGAUGCAUUGACUUGUGGUCAAUGCAGUGCUGCAGGGAAGCCGUUAAGUUUGCCGCCUGGGAAGUACGUACGCAAGUAUGAAACUUAAAGGAAUUGGCGGGGGAGCACCACAAGGGGUGAAGCCUGCGGUUCAAUUGGAUUCAACGCCGGG
RNAcentral lists this ribosomal RNA (903 nucleotides) under uncultured archaeon. Its description in RNAcentral is "bacterial SSU rRNA". It matches the Rfam family "Archaeal small subunit ribosomal RNA", at positions 13 to 922 of the family's 1478-position model. The record is from RNAcentral.